Molecule: long non-coding RNA, 3027 nt
Filed under: Anolis carolinensis (green anole)
Lineage: Eukaryota; Metazoa; Chordata; Lepidosauria; Squamata; Anolidae
Description: lncRNA (ENSACAG00000034664.1)
Source: RNAcentral
AUGGUGAUGACAUAUGCUAUUAGCUUUAUGGAGGUGCUUCCAUGUGGAGCUGCCAGUUGUAUGCAGGAGGAGAGAUGUCGCAAUGGCAGAAGGUGGAUAGGUCCAGGCCAGGGUGCAGUGAUGGCGGCCAGACCUGUGUGGUUCCCCAUGAACAAAAGGAGAGUUGUCAAACUCCGUGGGCAUUUUAGCAGACAAGGGCAGAAAGGCAGAUGGGGGAAAAUUGUUUGGUUAUACUGGCAGACCCCAUGUUAUGAACAAGAUAAGUUCUAUAGGUUUGUUCUUAAGUUGAAUUUGUAUGUAAGUUGGAACAGGUACAUUUUAAAAUAUAAUCAUAUCUAUCUAUCUAUCUAUCUAUCUAUCUAUCUAUAUAUAUAUGGCAUGUGCGACCCAUGGAAAAAAUGAUUCAAAUUCACUUUGAAAGUAGUGGGCUCUGGCACUUCGUUUCUAAAGUCAUUUCUGAAUUUUGAAGGCAAAAAGUUCAAAACUUUCUGAAAGUUCAGAUUCUUCGUAUGUACCUUGUUAAUGGUGUAUGCGCAUGCGCAUGAAGGAAAACAUUAUCGUCAAUGGGGAAAUUUGAGGGGCUUCUCUCUCCCUCAUUUUUGAGAUAUCCUAAUGAAAUUUGCUAUGGUGGUAGAAUACAUUUACCACUGUUAGCUCACUAAAUCUAAGAAUGUGUGACAUCCUCAGAUUUUUGGUGAAUUUUCAAAGUUUUUAUAAAAAACAUUUUUUAAUAAUUGCUGAAAUCUGUUCCUGGCUUGAAAGUAUUAUUUCCUGUUUCACUGGAUUGUCUUUACUUUGAAAGUCAUUAUUCUACUUCAGAAUCUUGUUUUUGUGGCUGAAACUCAGUGAAAUCGGUGGACAGUGUCCCAGCAAACUAUAAUGUGCUAUCAUAGCACCAUGUCCCUUGCGCAAAGACAAAGUUUUGGCAGUGUAAUAAAGUUUCACCAUGUUUCUAUGACAGAACCGAUUAGGAAAUGACAUUUAUCACCCAGGAACAAAAAUCAUAGUACAACAUCAAAUCACUCCUGACAGAUGGCCAUCAGCCUCUGAAUAAGGAAAUCUGUUUCUAGUUUCAAAGUGUUAUUUCCUGUUUCAUUAGGUUUUCUGCAGCUGAGAGUGUGUGACUUGCCCAAGAUCACUCAGUGGAUUUCCAUGGCUGAGUGGGGGAAUCAAGCCACAAUCAUAGUCCAACUCUCAAACCACUACACUACACCAUGCUGUCUCAAAACGGGCCGACUGCUUUCUUCAGAUGGGGCUUAGACCACUUCUAAAACAGGAGGGAAAAGCGGUCAGGAGUGGGUUUCUUCUGAUGUUACACUAUGUCUUAGGAAAAACCCUCACUCUUCUGUUUUUUUAUGAAUGCUCCCAUGAGAAAAUGUUCAGUGUUCUCAAAUAGGGGUGAACUAUAACUCUCUGAUGGCAAGGUCAAUUACCCACAAGGCCUGCCAGUAUUCACAGUUGGCCAUGUUGGGUCUGUGUGUGCCAAGCUUGGUCCAGAUCCAUCACUUUUCUUCUUAUCCCAGAUUAUAUGGCAGUUGGGACUCAUAUAAUCCAGUUUAAAUCAGAUAAUCUGGAAUCAGACCCUGGGAUAUAGGGCAGUGUAGAUUCAGCCUGAUUCCUCUUCCAUACUGCUCCUAUAUCCCAGGAUCUGAUCCCAGAUUAUCUGCUUUGAACUGGAUUAUAUGAGUCCACACUGGCAGAUAAUCUGGAAUAAGAAAAUAAUCUCGAGGGAGACCAAUAAUGUUGAAAGAAUGGGAAGGGAUUUGGCAAAGAAAAUUGAGAAUCAAUUAUGUGAUAGACCUACGGGAAAAUUGGUUAAAAAUGCUGCAUAGAGGGUACAUGACUCCUAAGAAAUUAGGAUUAAUGUACAAAAAUUUGGAUACUAGUUGUUGGAAAUGUAGAUAAAGAAGGCACAUAUUUUCAUAUGUGGUGGUCUUGUGAUAAAACAUUGGAAUUUUGGAAAAUGAUAUAUAAAGAAAGUCAAAAAAUAGUGGGAGUCAAUUAUACAAUGAGACCUGAAAUAUAUUUAUUGGGAAUAUAUGAAGAGAUACUUAUUUUAGAUGCAAACAAAGAAAAACUACUUAUUUACUUAGCGACAGCGGUCUUCGCAAAGGAAUGGAAAUCAGAUAGCUUACCAAUUAAAGAGUAAUGGCUAAAUAAAGUCAUGCAAAUUAAGGAUGUGGACAAGUUAACCUUUCUGUUAAAAAAAGAACAAUGUUAAAGGUCUAAAAAUGACUGAUUGGACACAAUUUGAGAAGUACAUUAAAGAGUUCUACUAAGUUUAGAACUUUGAACUAAAAACAUCCAAUUUGCUAAAAGGGAAAGAUGGAUUAUAAUCAAGAGACUUAAUAUGUACCCAGGGAAAAGAAGAACAGAAGUCCAAACAAUAUUUUUUUUGUAUUUUGUAUUUUUAUUUCUUUUUUGUUAUUCCUUCUCUUUCUUCUCAAACACGUCUUCCCAAACAGCUCUCAAGGACACACGAAUACCCAUCAACAUCUUGCUGACUGCAAAGGGGCCCCAUUUCCCAACCCCACUUUUAUUCACAAUUCCUCCUCAGAACUGGAAUCGGCCAACACCCUGCUAGCAGCUGAAGCCUCUUGCCUCAAUUCCUCCUCAGAACUGGAAUCAGACAACGCCCCACCAGACCUCCUUUCAGCGGAAGCCCCUUGCCGAGCCCUCCACUCUGUCUAUCUUUUAUCCAAACCCAUAACUCCCCAUUUUUUCCAACGUAUCAGGAAGAGGUGAGGAAAUGGAUUUUUCUCAAAACUCCGGAUGUUUUGCCAACUUUCUAAUGAAUUAGUACUUGUUGCUCUCUGGUUAGGAUCACCGAAUUUGUGGGAGGAGAAAUUGGGGGAGGAGUCAAAAUAAACAUUUUUGGGCAAUUUCCUUUUUCUCCCAAAGCAGGAAGGUUUGGUUGUAAGCUACCUCAUAACACUUCUACUUUGCAAAAUAAAAUAGCUUUUUAGGGUACAUUUAUUCCUUCUGUCCAUGAUUUGUCUGUGUCCUGUGUUGGGAGGGCCAGAGUUG